UUGGUGCCUUCGGGAACUGUGAGACAGGUGCUGCAUGGCUGUCGUCAGCUCGUGUUGUGAAAUGUUGGGUUAAGUCCCGCAACGAGCGCAACCCUUAUCCUUUGUUGCCAGCGGUUAGGCCGGGAACUCAAAGGAGACUGCCAGUGAUAAACUGGAGGAAGGUGGGGAUGACGUCAAGUCAUCAUGGCCCUUACGACCAGGGCUACACACGUGCUACAAUGGCAUAUACAAAGAGAAGCGACCUCGCGAGAGCAAGCGGACCUCAUAAAGUAUGUCGUAGUCCGGAUUGGAGUCUGCAACUCGACUCCAUGAAGUCGGAAUCGCUAGUAAUCGUAGAUCAGAAUGCUACGGUGAAUACGUUCCCGGGCCUUGUACACACCGCCCGUCACACCAUGGGAGUGGGUUGCAAAAGAAGUAGGUAGCUUAACCUUCGGGAGGGCGCUUACCACUUUGUGAUUCAUGACUGGGGUGAAGUCGUAACAAGGUAACCGUAGGGGAACCUGCGGUUGGAUCACCUCCUUACCUUAAAGAA
Molecule: ribosomal RNA, 532 nt
Filed under: Klebsiella pneumoniae
Lineage: Bacteria; Pseudomonadati; Pseudomonadota; Gammaproteobacteria; Enterobacterales; Enterobacteriaceae
Also listed under: 6 other names
Description: bacterial SSU rRNA
Rfam family: Bacterial small subunit ribosomal RNA
Source: RNAcentral